Passer domesticus (house sparrow) is the source of this 1545-nucleotide long non-coding RNA. RefSeq lists it as uncharacterized. The record is from RefSeq and is a predicted model, not a curated record. NCBI's taxonomy places the organism in Eukaryota, Metazoa, Chordata, Aves, Passeriformes, Passeridae. The transcript is spliced from 4 exons.
GUGUUGUUUUGGUUUGUUUAAUUAUCUUUUGUACUUAUCGGCUUGCUGGAAAAUCUUUCACAAGCCAAAAACUAGCAGGAAGGAGAACUUUGGAAGUUUCAUUAACAGCAGGGGAAAUACUCAAACCGUACCUUGUUCAUUCCUUCAUGUGGCAGAUGGGAAAUCCUUGUCUAUUUCACUGUGCGGCAAAAAUAAUGUGGGAAAAAAAAGUCUGCUUUGCAUGUGAGUUACAGAGGCAAGAUCACAGCUGUCAGGAACAUAAAAGUGGCCCUGUGUGUGCUGUAAUGCUGGAAGGGUGGGCGGCUGGAAAGGUGAACUGGACGGCUGGAAAGGGAAACUGAGUCAUGGGAUGUGGCCAAGGGCCCAAGAUAAGAGCUCAGCCAGCCAAAUCCCACUCCAAGUGACUCCUCUCCCCUACAGAGCAAGAAGAGCUUCUUCAGCUGAAUGUGCAAAGAGAAAGAAGAGCAGGAGAUGAUGAAGUCUAAGGAAGAACCAAGAGGUUUUUACCCCUUCCUCAUAACCAACCACAGUCAUGGAAGCACUUCAUCUUGUUCUCCGAGUUCUUGGACAUGAACCUCUAACUAAGCAUACCAGAACUCCCCCUACUGAGGAGCCAUCACAACCACAACUAAAUACUUGGGGAAUUUCUUUGGCAAAAGACUUUCCUGUUGGAAAGUGCUGAUUUGUUGAAAACAAAGCUUUCUGUGGAAAACUGUCAUCUUCAACAAAAUAUUAGCUGGAAGAUGUUCCUCUGUUCACAGUGCAAUUGCUUGGCAAGACCAGGCAGAUCCAGCGUCCCUUCUGGGGUCCUUCUGCACCAGCCACGCACAGCAUGGACAGACAGACAGACAACCCAGAAAGAGAAGCCUCUUUGGUGCAGAAGGCCAGAUUUAGAAGUGUUUGAACCUGGCCCUCCCACUGGGCUACUGCUACAAUAGAAGGAAUUGGUUCCUGUCACAGUCUCUUUCUCCAAAAGAUGACUUCCUUAUUAACCCAGUUUGCCUUGUGGUAUCACAAAUAAUUGAGGUGCUGUUUCCUGCUCUGCUGGACUACCACUGAGUGCAAGAGUGCAAAAGCUGCAUCUGCAAUUGGAUGACAAAAACUUAUUCACUGCAGAGUAGCAGCAAGCAAUCCUUAGUAUUGACCCUGUGAUCUUUACCAAGUUGGAAUUCCCAAGGAAUUUUGAUUGAGGUGUGCAGAAUUCACCUUUAAUGCUCAUACAUGAACAGAAACAUACGUGAACAGAAACACAUGAGUAGGGACUCUCAUAGUCCCGAGAAAGGUAAAAUGUAACAUGAUAUGCUAAUGCAAGGAUAUCAGAAAUUAAAGUCCUUCUACAAAGAGCAGAAAUUAACUACUAUUUUGUUCUGUUCAUUUAUUUUCAACUAGGUAUUUCCCCAACCCUUUAUUAUUUUAGAGUAUAAUGAGAAACACGGUUCCAAGCCUAUAUGAAUGUGAUGUUUCAAAAAUAUAUUCCCCAUGUAAAUUAGAAUUAAAAUAUAAGCUUCAUUGUUUCAUUGCAACUAUUCAUUUUGUCUUCUUUUU